ACUAUUUCAAAUGUGGUGUUAAUGAUUAAUGUUAUUCUUGUGGUUCUUCAGUUCUAAGCUUUAGAACUUGGUAAAUAGGAUAAAAUUAACACUAAUUAGGUUGAAGGAACAGGUUAAAA
Molecule: long non-coding RNA, 119 nt
Organism: Sphaeramia orbicularis (orbiculate cardinalfish)
Lineage: Eukaryota; Metazoa; Chordata; Actinopteri; Kurtiformes; Apogonidae
Exons: 3
Source: RefSeq, a predicted model, not a curated record